This 22-nucleotide microRNA is filed under the name Oryctolagus cuniculus (rabbit). RNAcentral's name for it is "ocu-miR-15b-3p". Its record names the gene ocu-miR-15b-3p. Lineage: Eukaryota; Metazoa; Chordata; Mammalia; Lagomorpha; Leporidae. The record is from miRBase by way of RNAcentral.
CGAAUCAUAAUUUGCUGCUCUA